CGAACGCUGGCGGCAUGCCUAACACAUGCAAGUCGACCGAGACCUUCGGGUCUAGUGGCGCACGGGUGCGUAACGCGUGGGAACCUGCCCUUAGGUUCGGAAUAACUCCCCGAAAGGGGUGCUAAUACCGGAUAAUGUCUUCGGACCAAAGAUUUAUCGCCUUUGGAUGGGCCCGCGUUGGAUUAGCUAGUUGGUAGGGUAAAAGCCUACCAAGGCGACGAUCCAUAGCUGGUCUGAGAGGAUGAUCAGCCACACUGGGACUGAGACACGGCCCAGACUCCUACGGGAGGCAGCAGUGGGGAAUAUUGGACAAUGGGCGAAAGCCUGAUCCAGCAAUGCCGCGUGAGUGAUGAAGGCCUUAGGGUUGUAAAGCUCUUUUACCCGGGAUGAUAAUGACAGUACCGGGAGAAUAAGCUCCGGCUAACUCCGUG
RNAcentral lists this ribosomal RNA (431 nucleotides) under uncultured bacterium. Its description in RNAcentral is "partial 16S ribosomal RNA". It matches the Rfam family "Bacterial small subunit ribosomal RNA", at positions 30 to 507 of the family's 1533-position model. The record is from RNAcentral.